Long non-coding RNA from Acipenser ruthenus (sterlet), 2968 nucleotides. RefSeq lists it as uncharacterized. The transcript is spliced from 3 exons. The record is from RefSeq and is a predicted model, not a curated record. NCBI's taxonomy places the organism in Eukaryota, Metazoa, Chordata, Actinopteri, Acipenseriformes, Acipenseridae.
UACUUGCAAGCAGAGCGGUGCUAGAUAUGGAAGGUUAUUUUUGGCAGUCAAAGUGAGAUUUACUUGUAGUCCGCAGUUUUGAAUCCAAGGUAUUUCUAUAAUAAGAAAACCUCGUAGUAGAAGGGAGCAUUCCACGAAUUAGGGGAGUUGUGUCCAUCACAGUUCUUAUCAAAUAAGUAGCGACUUUCUUUGGGAGAAAACUGAUUUCAUGCGGUGAAUUUGGAGAAUUGCUUACAAUGGUGUUUCAUAUUAAUCAAAACAAGUCUUGGCAAGAAAACAGGGUGUCUGAAUCCUGCUUGUGCAGGCAACUUUUAGAAACAGAGAGAGGUCAGGCAUAGUCCGAGAAUGGCACAGUUAAAUAAGGCUGUUAUACUUAACAUGUUCAUUAUAGUUUAAAAAUUAAACUAAUUGAACUGACCACUGUAUGCUUAUUCAAAGGCAGUCUUUGUCAAAUACUUUAACACAUAUUUGUAUAUGAAGUUAAACUGACGCAUUGACAACACACUGAAAAGGUAACAUAAUAUGCGGCUAGGAGGGAUAUAUAUAUAUUGACCCACCUUAAUAUAAUCAAAUAGAGCUGGUGUUACAUAUUAAAAACAACUCUCAUAUAUACACAUAUACUUGUAUUAUAUUAUAGCAAGGAUUCUGUGAACUUUGGUCCACCUGACUUUUUAGAAAAAGGAGGAGUUGGAAAAAGAGAGUGAUAGAAUGUAUAAUUAACUUAAAAAUAAGAAAUGUCAAGGCCAAGUGAUGAUUAGAUUUACUUGGGACUUCUGAUGUAUUCAAUGGAGGGAAAAACCUAGGUAAAACUCCAGUCAAGUAUUGCACGACUUGCUAACUGCAAGUUGUGUGGUCCAUGCUCUGAGGAUCUCUGAAAAACUGAUUGCUGUUUGGUCGUAUUCACAAGUCUCUACCUUUUGAAGACAGUUCUUAUUUUUCAAUAUAUCCUACACUACACUUCCAUAUACUGGAAGGAUCAACUUGCCCCCUACCAAGGUGGCCGUGUAUGCCGUGAGUUACAGCCUGCUGCCCGGUACAAACCGGCGAUCCCCACGGCCACCCCUUCGCCCUCCCCGAGCAACAGUAUAUGAGACAGCGCCACCAUUACCUGGACCCCCCACUAACCCCUUCACACUCUCCAGCCACAACGAUGCCCUCUCCCGAGCAGCAGAUCAGGAGACAGUACCGCUGCCCAAGCUUAACAUUGCAGCCUCCUUCGCUGGUGGAACUCCCCCGGGAUUCAUGACCAUCCGACUCCUGCAACUGGGUUGAGACCAUGUCGGCAGAUCUGGUUGCCCCUUCGCUUCAGGAUUCAGGUCAGUUCUUCCCGGGCCGGGAAGUGUUUAAGAGGGGGCAGUGUAGCAGCGGGGCAGCUGGACUGAGUUAUGGGAUUUUGCUGUUUACAAUAAUGUGUAAUGUGUUCUCUGUUUAUGCAUUGCAGCAUGAGUGAAUGUGAAUCUGUUCACCGGCUGAUGCUGGUUUCUCUCUCUCCUUUUUGUGUGAGUGUCAAAAUAUGGCACAAGGAAUCAGGUUGGCGAAGGACAGGUCAUAUGUCCCAUUUUUCAAAUACAGCGAGAGAUGGGUCAGGGUUGGCGAGAGAGGGGUCAUGGUAAAUUACACAAAGAGUCAUGUUUGGCGAGGGAGGGGUCACACUGUGUGCAAAGAAUAAUGGGAUAAAUACAGCUCAGGAGAAAUGUUUCUAUUAAGAGUCAAUGGAGCUGUGUCAUAUUUUGCAGAUUUUUGCUAUGUUAAAAAAAUGCAUCAAAUUUUUAAAGUAAAUUUCACUUUUGCCCAAGGUCUCUUGAACAAAACAGCGACACUGACAAAUUAUGACAGUAUGUAAUUAGAAAUACAGAGUAACAGCACAGCCAGCACAGCUAUUCUACUAUGGUACAGAAUUCAGAAGCAUAAAGCUGAGGAAAAGCUGUUGAUAUCUUUGGUUCUGUAUUUUAUUAAAUUGUAAAAUAAACAACAUAUUUGUUACCACUUUUUCAAGAAUAAAAUAAGCACACACCAUACGGAUGGGGAUGCCUGAUUUCAAUGACCUGCUUUGUCCCAGUAGCUAUAUUGUUAUGUGUAUUGUUAAUAUUUUUUGAUGUUAUGUAUUCCCAAAGCUAUCAAUGUUACCCAAAUGUUACAUAAUUAAAUGUAGACUUGUCUUUUCAAAUCACAUGGAUUUGAUUGACAGAUAACUUAUGAAUAUCCAGUUAAUAUAGCCUUAACUACAUACAUUUUGUUUUGGCAGGGAGGUAUUAUCCACCCAUGGACUUUCAGGAAGAGCUGGUAAUGCCAACCAUGGCUCUAUUGCCAAACUAUCCCUUAAUCCUGGGAAAAUAAAGUUGCUUCUUGGUUAGAAUAUUGAAAUAAACAUUUGAGUUGCAAUCAUUGUCAAUUGAUGAUUUGUUGAUACUUUACUUUUUUACAUUUUUAAAUAAUUACUUUUGUGAUGUGACUUUUUUUUUAAUGUAUUUAGUAAAACAAUGAUAAUUCUGAAUAUGUGAAUUGAUACCAGGUGACCCUACAUUUGUAUCGUGCACAUAUACUACUUAGUCAAAAUACAGUGUAAUGUGCAUAAAUUGAGUAAAAAUUAGUAAAACAUAAUUUUCUUCCUUAUUUUGUGUCCCUUGUAGAAACAGUGCAGAGAAAGUUCCCAGGUGUUCCGCAAAAAUUUAAGAGCUGCACCCAGAGAAAAGUUAAACGAUGAACAUAAAUUAAAAUGCAGAAUGAUCCAACAAAGGAAGAUUGAACAAUGACCUAAAAACCGAAACAAUGAUUCGGCCUUGUUAAAGCUGCAUUUAAGUGACCCACUUUGGAUCUCGACUCAUAGUUUAAGAACCCUUAACUUAGGAAUGUGUGGCCAUUAUUUUAAAGUGUUACCAUUGUUUUGUUUUUAAAAUAACUAUAAAUUAUUUCAAUCAAUUACAUUUUGUAAAUUUAUAUUUUCAUUAAUAAAAUAUAUUCCUAUGUC